Molecule: ribosomal RNA, 497 nt
Filed under: uncultured bacterium
Lineage: Bacteria
Description: partial 16S ribosomal RNA
Rfam family: Bacterial small subunit ribosomal RNA
Source: RNAcentral
GAUGAACGCUGGCGGCGUGCCUAAUACAUGCAAGUCGAGCGAACGGACGAGAAGCUUGCUUCUCUGAUGUUAGCGGCGGACGGGUGAGUAACACGUGGAUAACCUACCUAUAAGACUGGGAUAACUUCGGGAAACCGGAGCUAAUACCGGAUAAUAUUUUGAACCGCAUGGUUCAAAAGUGAAAGACGGUCUUGCUGUCACUUAUAGAUGGAUCCGCGCUGCAUUAGCUAGUUGGUAAGGUAACGGCUUACCAAGGCAACGAUGCAUAGCCGACCUGAGAGGGUGAUCGGCCACCCUGGAACUGAGGCACGGUCCAGACUCCUACGGGAGGCAGCAGUAGGGAAUCUUCCGCAAUGGGCGAAAGCCUGACGGAGCAACGCCGCGUGAGUGAUGAAGGUCUUCGGAUCGUAAAACUCUGUUAUUAGGGAAGAACAUAUGUGUAAGUAACUGUGCACAUCUUGACGGUACCUAAUCAGAAAGCCACGGCUAACUACGUG